RNAcentral lists this ribosomal RNA (502 nucleotides) under uncultured bacterium. RNAcentral describes it as "partial 16S ribosomal RNA". It matches the Rfam family "Bacterial small subunit ribosomal RNA", at positions 30 to 523 of the family's 1533-position model. The record is from RNAcentral.
AUUGAACGCUGGCGGAAUGCUUUACACAUGCAAGUCGAACGGCAGCACGGGUGCUUGCACCUGGUGGCGAGUGGCGAACGGGUGAGUAAUAUAUCGGAACGUACCCAGUAAUGGGGGAUAACUAACCGAAAGGUUAGCUAAUACCGCAUACGCCCUGAGGGGGUAAGCGGGGGAUCGAAAGACCUCGCGUUAUUGGAGCGGCCGAUAUCUGAUUAGCUAGUUGGUGGGGUAAAGGCCCACCAAGGCGACGAUCAGUAGCUGGUCUGAGAGGAUGAUCAGCCACACUGGAACUGAGACACGGUCCAGACUCCUACGGGAGGCAGCAGUGGGGAAUUUCGGACAAUGGGCGAAAGCCUGAUCCAGCCAUUCCGCGUGAGUGAAGAAGGCCUUCGGGUUGUAAAGCUCUUUCGGCAGGGAAGAAACGGUCUAGGUUAAUACCUUGGGCUAAUGACGGUACCUGAAGAAGAAGCACCGGCUAACUACGUGCCAGCAGCCGCAGUAA